GAAAUAAGAGGUAGGAUUUGCUCAAUGAAAAAUUAAAUAGCCGUAGUAUUUUGACUAUGCUAAGGUAGCAUAAUAAUUUGCUUUAUAAUAGGAAGCUAGAAUGAAAGAGUUGACGACACUUAAGCUUUCUUGGAACAAAAAAUCGAAAUUAAUAUUUUCAUAAAAAAGUGAAAAUUUUUAAAAAGACGAUAAGACCCUAUAAAACUUCUACCUAACUAUUCGUAAAAAUUUAUGGAGAUUUUGGGUUAAGCUGGGGCGGUAUUUAAAAUUCACUAAAAAAAAAAACAUUUCUAAAUGAAAUUAAAGAUCUUUCUUAGAUUUAGAAUAAGUUACUUUAGGGAUAACAGCAUAAUUUUUUUUUAUAGACCUUAUAGAUAAAAAAGACUUAUGACCUCGAUGUUGAAUUGAGAAUUUCUUUUUUAGCAGAAAAAAAUAAGAUGAGUCUGUUCGACUUCUAAGUUCUCAC
This 466-nucleotide ribosomal RNA is filed under the name Eurycope sp. 5 SB-2021a. RNAcentral's name for it is "partial 16S ribosomal RNA". It matches the Rfam family "Archaeal large subunit ribosomal RNA", at positions 1934 to 2668 of the family's 2987-position model. The record is from RNAcentral. Lineage: Eukaryota; Metazoa; Arthropoda; Malacostraca; Isopoda; Munnopsidae.